AGUUUGUAUCUCAUAAAAAAGAUCCAUAAGUGACCAAGUGCAUUUUAUCUUUUUUUUUAUUUUUUUUAAUCCCAUUGCCAUUUUCAACAAAAUUAUUAUCUUCAACUCUCUUCACAAAUGCUACCCAAUCAACAUCUCCGACCAAGCUCGAGAACAAUCAAGAUUUGCAUAAUUUAAAAGGUUAAUUGAACUUUCUUUUUAUUAGAUGGAAAGGUUUGCAUAUUUAACGAAGAAGGAAUGUUGCUAGCAGCCAUGCGAGGUCUCAUUCAUCCAUCAAUCAAAACAUUAUUUAUUUAUUUUAUUUUGAGAGGUUCUCCUUGUCGAAACACUCCUAAAACUUGCAUGAGACCGGUUCAAGACCACACAAUUUUGCAAUAACGACAUAAAUGACAGAGGCAUUAGGAUAAUCCCUAAAAAAUAAGCCCGCCCAACAAAAUUAUAUAGACAACCCAACAUUAGCCUUUUCUUCCAUAUAACACACAAUUCAAACUCAUCUCCUAUAUUUCAAUAUCCCUUCAAACUUAAGAGCUUGUGGCAAUCACCUAGUAUGCAUGUUAAUCUAGGUCAGCUCAACACUUAAUCUAGGUCAGCUUAACACCGACGACUAUUAGCAAGGAACAGUUGAAGCUAUAAAAAAAAUUUUAAAAAAAGUCAUCAAAAUUUUCAAAGAAUGCGUCCCAAAAUUAAAAAAUAGAACAAAAAAGGAGAAAAAAGGGAUCCAAGUUAUU
This 728-nucleotide long non-coding RNA is filed under the name Linum usitatissimum (flax). RNAcentral's name for it is "long non-coding RNA (LUSI_LNC005162)". Lineage: Eukaryota; Viridiplantae; Streptophyta; Magnoliopsida; Malpighiales; Linaceae. The record is from RNAcentral.